UAGGGAAUCUUCCACAAUGGACGAAAGUCUGAUGGAGCAACGCCGCGUGAGUGAAGAAGGUUUUCGGAUCGUAAAGCUCUGUUGUUGGUGAAGAAGGAUAGAGGCAGUAACUGGUCUUUAUUUGACGGUAAUCAACCAGAAAGUCACGGCUAACUACGUGCCAGCAGCCGCGGUAAUACGUAGGUGGCAAGCGUUGUCCGGAUUUAUUGGGCGUAAAGCGAGCGCAGGCGGAAUGAUAAGUCUGAUGUGAAAGCCCACGGCUCAACCGUGGAACUGCAUCGGAAACUGUCAUUCUUGAGUGCAGAAGAGGAGAGUGGAACUCCAUGUGUAGCGGUGGAAUGCGUAGAUAUAUGGAAGAACACCAGUGGCGAAGGCGGCUCUCUGGUCUGCAACUGACGCUGAGGCUCGAAAGCAUGGGUAGCGAACAGGAUUAGAUACCCUGGUAGUCCAUGCCGUAAACGAUGAGCGCUAGGUGUUGGGGACUUUCCGGUCCUCAGUGCCGCAGCAAACGCAUUAAGCGCUCCGCCUGGGGAGU
RNAcentral lists this ribosomal RNA (535 nucleotides) under uncultured bacterium. RNAcentral describes it as "partial 16S ribosomal RNA". It matches the Rfam family "Bacterial small subunit ribosomal RNA", at positions 355 to 881 of the family's 1533-position model. The record is from RNAcentral.